UACAGAGGUCUCAAGCGUUGUUCGGAUUCAUUGGGCGUAAAGGGUGCGUAGGUGGCGCGCUAAGUCGGGUGUGAAAUUUCGAGGCUUAACCUCGAAACUGCAUUCGAUACUGGCGUGCUUGAGGACUGGAGAGGAGACUGGAAUUCAUGGUGUAGCAGUGAAAUGCGUAGAGAUCAUGAGGAAGACCAGUGGCGAAGGCGGGUCUCUGGAACGGUACUGACGCUGAGACGCGAAAGCGUGGGGAGCGAACAGG
RNAcentral lists this ribosomal RNA (253 nucleotides) under uncultured bacterium. RNAcentral describes it as "partial 16S ribosomal RNA". It matches the Rfam family "Bacterial small subunit ribosomal RNA", at positions 524 to 776 of the family's 1533-position model. The record is from RNAcentral.